AUUGAACGCUGGCGGCAGGCUUAACACAUGCAAGUCGAGCGGAGAUGAGGUGCUUGCACCUUAUCUUAGCGGCGGACGGGUGAGUAAUACUUAGGAAUCUGCCUAUUAGUGGGGGACAACAUCUCGAAAGGAAUGCUAAUACCGCAUACGCCCUACGGGGGAAAGCAGGGGAUCUUCGGACCUUGCGCUAAUAGAUGAGCCUAAGUCGGAUUAGCUAGUUGGUGAGGUAAUGGCUCACCAAGGCGACGAUCUGUAACGGGUCUGAGAGGAUGAUCAGUCACACUGGAACUGAGACACGGCCCAGACUCCUACGGGAGGCAGCAGUGGGGAAUAUUGGACAAUGGGGGGAACCCUGAUCCAGCCAUGCCGCGUGUGUGAAGAAGGCCUUAUGGUUGUAAAGCACUUUAAGCGAGGAGGAGGCUCCCUAGACUAAUACUCUAGGAGAGUGGACGUUACUCGCAGAAUAAGCACCGGCUAACUCUGUGCCAGCAGCCGCGGUAAUACAGAGGGUGCGAGCGUUAAUCGGAUUUACUGGGCGUAAAGCGUGCGUAGGCGGCUUUUUAAGUCGGAUGUGAAAUCCCCGAGCUUAACUUGGGAAUUGCAUUCGAUACUGGGAAGCUAGAGUAUGGGAGAGGAUGGUAGAAUUCCAGGUGUAGCGGUGAAAUGCGUAGAGAUCUGGAGGAAUACCGAUGGCGAAGGCAGCCAUCUGGCCUAAUACCGACGCUGAGGUACGAAAGCAUGGGGAGCAA
This 749-nucleotide ribosomal RNA is filed under the name uncultured Acinetobacter sp. Its description in RNAcentral is "bacterial SSU rRNA". It matches the Rfam family "Bacterial small subunit ribosomal RNA", at positions 28 to 771 of the family's 1533-position model. Lineage: Bacteria; Pseudomonadati; Pseudomonadota; Gammaproteobacteria; Moraxellales; Moraxellaceae. The record is from RNAcentral.